UGUCAGAUAGCUCAGUGGUUUAGAGCAGUCGCCUGGAAAGCGAAAGGCCCGGGUUCGAGUCCCAGCCUAGCAA
Odontomachus brunneus is the source of this 73-nucleotide non-coding RNA. Lineage: Eukaryota; Metazoa; Arthropoda; Insecta; Hymenoptera; Formicidae. The record is from the annotation of a RefSeq genome assembly.